RNAcentral lists this signal recognition particle RNA (311 nucleotides) under Nitrosopumilales archaeon. RNAcentral's name for it is "signal recognition particle sRNA". It matches the Rfam family "Archaeal signal recognition particle RNA". Lineage: Archaea; Thermoproteati; Nitrososphaerota; Nitrososphaeria; Nitrosopumilales. The record is from RNAcentral.
AGGCAGGUAGGAUCAGGGUGCUAGCCGUACCCUUCCCUGGAAAUCGGCUUUAUGCCAGGAUCAGUAACUAUUAGAUAAAUCCUUGGAUAGAAAUUUCCUGCGUAUCAAGUUAAAAUGAAAUCACGCCGAACUGGACGGAUAUGAGCAGCAAACCAUGCGAAGGUGUGGUAUUGACUGUUAAUUCUCGAAAUGGGUGAGGUCCGGGAGGGAGCAACCCUAAGGUGACAUAACCGUGCUGGUCCGUCUACGUGGUGGAUCAUAUGAGAUGCGAGAUUGGGAUUUUUAUCAAAGGUGGUACUAGUAGGCUGCCU